AAGUGAGGAGAAGCUUCCAAGAGUAUUUCAGAGUGUCGUCGUGUUCUACUGACUAAGGUGUGCAGCAGAUGCAUACAGGCAUCCACAGAAGCCAGGAGAGAGCUUCAGACCCCCUAGAACUGGAGUCAUUGGUGACAGUAAGCUUCCUGGAGUGGAUGCUGGAAAUCAAACUCAGGUCCUCUGCAAGAGCAAUAUCUUGCAGGAGCUUCUGACAGUCAUCUUGGAUGCAUGGGGUGAGAGACUGCUAUAGAGACAAAGCUGCAGAGAUGUUGCUGAGGGCAGAGGAGAAGCAGCAAGGUCCUGCUCAGUUAUUUGAACCAUCAUUCAAGUCUCCUUUGAAGCCAAACUGUUCUGUUUAAUAACAAAGGGUCAAUGAGCCCAGUUGUUUGUGUAAGCCAAUUUAAGACACAUUCUCUGUAUGUUGUAACAGAAAUAAUAAUGUGUAACCCAUAUCCCAUCUUAAA
This is a long non-coding RNA of Mus musculus (house mouse), 464 nucleotides long. RefSeq annotates it as predicted gene, 53305. The record is from RefSeq and is a predicted model, not a curated record. NCBI's taxonomy places the organism in Eukaryota, Metazoa, Chordata, Mammalia, Rodentia, Muridae. The transcript has 3 exons.